CCUACGGGUGGCAGCAGUGGGGAAUAUUGCGCAAUGGGCGAAAGCCUGACGCAGCGAAGCCGCGUGAGGGAUGACGGUCUUCGGAUCGUAAAACUCUUUCAGCAGGGAAGAACGGUCACUGUGCUAAUCAGCAGUGAAUUGACGGUACCUGCAAAGGAAGCACCGGCUAACUCCGUGCCAGCAGCCGCGGUCAUACGGAGGGUGCGAUCGUUAAUCGGAAUUACUGGGCGUAAAGCGCGCGUAGGCGGUAUGUCAAGUCAAGGGGGAAAUCCCCGCGCGCAACGUGGGAACUGCCUUUGAAACUGGGAAACUGGAGUGUGUGAGAGGUGAGUGGAAUUCCAGGUGUAGGAGUGAAAUCCGUAGAGAUCAGGAAGAACAUCAGUGGCGAAGGCGACUAUCUGGCACAUAACUGACGCUGAGGAGCGAAAGCGUGGGUAGCAAACAGGAUUAGAUACCCUUGUAGUC
RNAcentral lists this ribosomal RNA (465 nucleotides) under uncultured bacterium. Its description in RNAcentral is "partial 16S ribosomal RNA". It matches the Rfam family "Bacterial small subunit ribosomal RNA", at positions 338 to 795 of the family's 1533-position model. The record is from RNAcentral.